Molecule: long non-coding RNA, 1689 nt
Filed under: Anthonomus grandis grandis
Lineage: Eukaryota; Metazoa; Arthropoda; Insecta; Coleoptera; Curculionidae
Description: uncharacterized LOC126739573
Source: RNAcentral
CUGACUAGUCUCAUUAUUCCAGGUAAUUGAGCUCCGACUAAAAAUUCUUCAUUUUAUGUACUGCACUUACAGUUUUUGCCGAUUUCAGACAAUUCAGUGAUUCUAUCAGGCUGGAAAUUGCUUUUACAUUGCUGAAUGGUUUUAUAAUUUGAUCUAACUGGACCCUGGCUUCAACUUCUUCGUUUUAUGUGUUGGACUUACAGAUUCUUUUUUAAUUUCAGGCAGCUGAGUGAUUUCAUCAGGCUAUAGAUUCAUUUCAGACGGCUCAUAAUUUUAAGCAACUGCGUGUCUGACUGUAUAACUAAUCAGGAAAACUGAAAAAUGUUACGUAAAUUGGCAUGUGAAAAACAGUGAAGCAAAGGCAGAUUAAUGACCUAAAUGUAAAUAUUUAGAAAGAAAUGAACUUAAGACGAAACGACAAAUAUUAAAUUUUGGUGACUUUGUGACUUUCACAUGAUGUGAUUUGUUGUUUCAUUCCCCCUUAAACAGGUCCGGAAACAAUUUAAUUUUUCCAAUAUUUGUGAAAGAUGAUAUGGAAAAGUUUGCAAAUCAACUCUUGCCUUCAUUAACUAUUUAUAGCAAGUAGGCGGUCAUUUCUUUAACAGCUGCCCCACAUUGAUACGCAAAAACUAGUUUAUCCAGCUAAAGCCAGUUAAAACUAUGAAUAUGAUUUUGACCCCACAUGCAACAUUUCUUUGCGAUACAUACCUUUGAAAACCACUUUGAAGCCUUCUCUUGACUGAAUACUACGGUCUAACGUUCUUUGAAUAAAACGCGAAUUACAGUAUUUAGCAGGCAACAAACGUGCGGAAAUCCGUGCUUAUCAAACGUUUCACUUCAAGUCGAAUCUUACGCGAAGCACUUUAUUGAAAUCGCCUUUCUCUCUUACAACUUACGGGUCCAUUCACCAAGUUUUUCCCUUUUAUUACAAUCAAAUUAAAUAAAUUCAGUUUUGUCCUAAAUAAUGCACAAAACAAUCAUAAAAAUGCAAUGAACGCGAUCAGAAGCAGCAAGCACUUCAAACAAAACAACAAUAACAACGCAUCGCGCGAAAGCACAAACGUCAAACUAAAACCGAACGAGGCGGUAGCAGCAGGCCAUGAUUGAAAUUUUUCUCAGUCUAGUCACCCGUGCUAAAUGUUUUGUUUUGAAGCGCUAUCGAUGAUUAGCUACGACCUACGGGGCCGUCAAACGUAACGUGUCGAACAAAGACGGAAGAUCGAAAAACGAUAUUGCGGGAGCGGGAGGGUUGUUCUGGACCGUAGUUGCGACUCGAUACGAGAGCAGCAGGCGGGUGAAUGCGAUGACUAAGAAGGCCGAGGGGGUUUGAACAUUUUAGAACGUGCGUAACGCGAGGGGGUGUAAAUGACGAAGGCGCAAACGCAGAUUUUUAUUUUUUUUCGCCCCGGUGACGAUGAUGAUUAUGAUGAGCGGGUCUUUUUUUUAUGUGCAUUUAUUGAAAUGGACGGAUGGGUUGUCACCCCUUCCGUUGCGGAUUUUUGAGGAGCUCGCCCUAUGGAAUUAAGCCGAUUAUUAUUUAUUGAAAUGCAGAUGUCACGCAGUAUGGAGUUGGAUAUGCAACAAAAUACACACAGAAAUAUCCCGAUGGAUUUUUUCACAUUUUGUUGUGUAAAAAAAAAUGUUUAAUUUUAAUACACAAUUGUUAGAUAAUAUCUCACAGUCCUGUAU